Molecule: unclassified non-coding RNA, 136 nt
Filed under: uncultured fungus
Lineage: Eukaryota; Fungi
Description: sequence contains ITS1, 5.8S rRNA gene
Source: RNAcentral
GAGAGCCCACGGGCGUAUUAGAGACUUGUGAAUUGUGCGUUCGCGCAUUGUUGGCUUAUGAGGUUGGCUUGUGAACGCCUUCGGGCCGCCUUCGGGCUUCAAACUUGAUGUAACGAACGUCUCUAUGAGAAAAACA